AGUGAACGCUGGCGGUAGGCCUAACACAUGCAAGUCGAACGGCAGCACAGUAAGAGCUUGCUCUUACGGGUGGCGAGUGGCGGACGGGUGAGGAAUACAUCGGAAUCUACUUUUUCGUGGGGGAUAACGUAGGGAAACUUACGCUAAUACCGCAUACGACCUACGGGUGAAAGCAGGGGAUCUUCGGACCUUGCGCGAUUGAAUGAGCCGAUGUCGGAUUAGCUAGUUGGCGGGGUAAAGGCCCACCAAGGCGACGAUCCGUAGCUGGUCUGAGAGGAUGAUCAGCCAAACUGGACUGAGACACGGUCCAGACUCCUACGGGAGGCAGCAGUGGGGAAUAUUGGACAAUGGGCGCAAGCCUGAUCCAGCCAUACCGCGUGGGUGAAGAAGGCCUUCGGGUUGUAAAGCCCUUUUGUUGGGAAAGAAAAGCAGCAGGUUAAUACCCCGCUGUUCUGACGGUACCCAAAGAAUAAGCACCGGCUAACUUCGUG
This 491-nucleotide ribosomal RNA is filed under the name uncultured bacterium. Its description in RNAcentral is "partial 16S ribosomal RNA". It matches the Rfam family "Bacterial small subunit ribosomal RNA", at positions 29 to 507 of the family's 1533-position model. The record is from RNAcentral.